UGUUAAAGUUUUCAUCCAUUUGUGCAAUUAAAAACUGGCGCGGCUGACAAAAUAACCGAGCAGUGACACGUGAUGUGUCAUGUGUAUCUCAUGCUGUUGUAUAGGGAUCAGUUUUAAAUAGUAGAAAUUAAUGGAAUUUUUAACA
Non-coding RNA from Gossypium raimondii (Peruvian cotton), 145 nucleotides. Lineage: Eukaryota; Viridiplantae; Streptophyta; Magnoliopsida; Malvales; Malvaceae. The record is from Rfam.